AUUGAACGCUGGCGGCAUGCCUUACACAUGCAAGUCGAACGGCAGCACGGGAGCAAUCCUGGUGGCGAGUGGCGAACGGGUGAGUAAUAUAUCGGAACGUGCCCGGUCGUGGGGGAUAACGUAGCGAAAGCUACGCUAAUACCGCAUACGAUCUACGGAUGAAAGCGGGGGAUCGCAAGACCUCGCGCGAUUGGAGCGGCCGAUAUCAGAUUAGGUAGUUGGUGAGGUAAAGGCUCACCAAGCCGACGAUCUGUAGCUGGUCUGAGAGGACGACCAGCCACACUGGGACUGAGACACGGUCCAGACUCCUACGGAAGGCAGCAGUGGGGAAUAUUGGACAAUGGGCGGCAAGACCUGAUCCAGCCAUGCCGCGU
RNAcentral lists this ribosomal RNA (374 nucleotides) under uncultured bacterium. Its description in RNAcentral is "bacterial SSU rRNA". It matches the Rfam family "Bacterial small subunit ribosomal RNA", at positions 30 to 402 of the family's 1533-position model. The record is from RNAcentral.